Molecule: long non-coding RNA, 846 nt
Organism: Condylura cristata (star-nosed mole)
Lineage: Eukaryota; Metazoa; Chordata; Mammalia; Eulipotyphla; Talpidae
Exons: 3
Source: RefSeq, a predicted model, not a curated record
UCACCGGACUCAGCGCACCCCGCUUUUCGUUUUAGCCCCACGGUUUGUGUCCCGCGGCAAGGCGGGCCUCCAGCUCGCGGACCGUGUGGCUGGAGCCUCGCGCGUGCCGAUCUCCAGGCUUGCAAACGAGGAAGCCCCGGCCGCGCCCGCUCCCGGGAGGCGCCGGCACGGCAGUGACGUCACAAGCCGGCCGGCACGGGACACUGCAGAGCCGGCGCGGCACUGACGUCACAAGGUCGGGCCGGCGCGCGUCUUUGGAGACGGCGCAUCUUUGACGUCACCAGCGGGGCCGGCGCGGCCGUGACGUCACAGGACCGAGCUGGUGCGUUUCCUGGCAACGGGCGUCGGGGCCGCGCGGGCGACUUUACGGGCUCUUCCGGGGCCCCCGCGCGCUGGCAGCCGGCUCCCAUCGGCGAGUUCGAAACCCGGGUGCGCCGUUUUGAGGUGUCAAGGAGACGGGACUUGUAAAACGAUCAGAUUCGCCCCGCGGCUGCGCAGAAUCGGCCCCAGCCCGCGGCGUGGUGCCCGUUUCCCCGGUCACGCCUCCGUGCGCGGGGUCGCGCCAAGUGGUGGAAUAAAAGCUUACAGAGACACAUCUUCCGCCAUCACUCGACAGUUAGGAGCCAGGAGUAGUAGAAAGCUUGGUCAUCACCAUCAGCUUGUAUACCUCUCGAAGGUGGCCCCACCCUGAAGUUCGGAGGCUUGUCAGAAGCAGGCGCUAUGACUGCCAGCAGUGCUCCUCCAGCGUUUCCUCGCUCAGAGUCUCCCUUCUACGUGGAAGCCAGCAGUAGCACCUCGGACCUGCCUCAGAAUAUAAAAAAUUGGGCCCUCCCUGGUGGUGCGGCG